RNAcentral lists this ribosomal RNA (402 nucleotides) under uncultured bacterium. RNAcentral's name for it is "bacterial SSU rRNA". It matches the Rfam family "Bacterial small subunit ribosomal RNA", at positions 355 to 774 of the family's 1533-position model. The record is from RNAcentral.
UGGGGAAUCUUGCACAAUGGGGGAAACCCUGAUGCAGCGACGCCGCGUGAACGAUGAAGCCCUUCGGGGUGUAAAGUUCUUUCGACGGGGACGAUAAUGACGGUACCCGGAGAAGAAGCUGCGGCUAACUACGUGCCAGCAGCCGCGGUAAUACGUAGGCAGCAAGCGUUGUUCGGAAUUACUGGGCGUAAAGAGUGCGUAGGUGGUUCGGAAAGAAAGGUGUGAAAUCCCAGGGCUUAACCUUGGAACUGCACUUUUAACUACCGGGCUAGAGUACGUCAGAGGGGGGUAGAAUUCCACGUGUAGCAGUGAAAUGCGUAGAGAUGUGGAGGAAUACCGAUGGCGAAGGCAGCCCCCUGGGAUGAUACUGACGCUCAUGCACGAAAGCGUGGGGAGCAAACA